UUUUUUAUAUAUUAAAUAGCAAACAACAUUUUUGUUAUACGUGUACUAGUAUCAUGUUUAAUACAAGUUUUUUAAUGGUUCAUAUACAUUAUAUACACUGCUCCAGUCUUGAACUAUCAUUUCCAUCCAAUGUUUUUUCAAAUCAUGAUCUGGAUGUAAACCAUCACGAAGUUUUUUAUAUGAAUAAACGCUUCCUCUCCUUCCUUUGUGCUGUCUUAGGGCCCUAUGCAAGGGUGUGUGGACUUGAGUUUCUUUCUGAUUAAAGUCAUUUAUAAAAUCCUCAUUUAUUCUACAUACAAAAUUCUCAUAUGAUUGCUGAUGAUUACGAGUUGAAGUUCCAAAUUUUUCACUCUUAUGAGGAUAUUUUCUGAUGGUUCGUUCUAAUUCUUUAGGGGGUAUUGUUGCAAUUACAACUAUGGCGUUAAAAGCCACUGUCUUCACUGCUAUUUCAAUUUGGUUAAAACUUCUUUACGAUUCGUUUGUAUAAUACAUCUAAGUCCUCUCCAGUUCUACCAUAAAUAUCCUCAGGAAUGUUAUUCAUCCCGACACUCAGAAAGACCACAACGCGGCUCUGAUUGCAAAGUAUUUUAAAGUUUUCACUCCUCACGUAUCGCUUAACGUCACCCAACUUCAAACCAGAAACACAGUGAUAGUUUAUUCUUCUGACAAUAUUUCUGUGGGAUCCCAAAUUAAUUCUUUCAACGCCACACAAUCUAGAAUCGCUAAUAAAAAUUCAUUUGGAGUACAAUAUUAU
This 754-nucleotide long non-coding RNA is filed under the name Mytilus galloprovincialis (Mediterranean mussel). Lineage: Eukaryota; Metazoa; Mollusca; Bivalvia; Mytilida; Mytilidae. The record is from RNAcentral.